This 254-nucleotide ribosomal RNA is filed under the name uncultured bacterium. RNAcentral describes it as "partial 16S ribosomal RNA". It matches the Rfam family "Bacterial small subunit ribosomal RNA", at positions 524 to 776 of the family's 1533-position model. The record is from RNAcentral.
CACGUAGGGUGCGAGCGUUGUCCGGAAUUACUGGGCUUAAAGAGCUCGUAGGCGGUGUGUCGCGUCGGCCGUGAAAACCUGCAGCUUAACUGUGGGCUUGCGGUCGAUACGGGCAUCACUGGAGUUCGGCAGGGGAGACUGGAAUUCCUGGUGUAGCGGUGAAAUGCGCAGAUAUCAGGAGGAACACCAGUGGCGAAGGCGGGUCUCUGGGCCGAUACUGACGCUGAGAAGCGAAAGCGUGGGGAGCGAACAGG